This 269-nucleotide ribosomal RNA is filed under the name Acinetobacter sp. 10-3A2. RNAcentral's name for it is "partial 16S ribosomal RNA". It matches the Rfam family "Bacterial small subunit ribosomal RNA", at positions 1102 to 1371 of the family's 1533-position model. Lineage: Bacteria; Pseudomonadati; Pseudomonadota; Gammaproteobacteria; Moraxellales; Moraxellaceae. The record is from RNAcentral.
CCCUUUUCCUUACUUGCCAGCAUUUCGGAUGGGAACUUUAAGGAUACUGCCAGUGACAAACUGGAGGAAGGCGGGGACGACGUCAAGUCAUCAUGGCCCUUACGGCCAGGGCUACACACGUGCUACAAUGGUCGGUACAAAGGGUUGCUACCUAGCGAUAGGAUGCUAAUCUCAAAAAGCCGAUCGUAGUCCGGAUUGGAGUCUGCAACUCGACUCCAUGAAGUCGGAAUCGCUAGUAAUCGCGGAUCAGAAUGCCGCGGUGAAUACGU